GUAGUCCACACUGUAAACGAUGAGUGCUAGGUGUAGGAGGUAUCGACCCCUUCUGUGCCGGAGUUAACACAAUAAGCACUCCGCCUGGGGAGUACGGCCGCAAGGUUGAAACUCAAAGGAAUUGACGGGGGCCCGCACAAGCAGCGGAGCAUGUUGUUUAAUUCGACGCAACGCGAAGAACCUUACCAGGUCUUGACAUCCAGUAAAAACUGUAGAGAUACAGUGUGCUUUCGGGCAUACUGAGACAGGUGGUGCAUGGUUGUCGUCAGCUCGUGUCGUGAGAUGUUGGGUUAAGUCCCGCAACGAGCGCAACCCUUGUGAUUAGUUACUAACGUGUAAUGACGAGGACUCUAAUCAGACUGCCGGGGACAACUCGGAGGAAGGUGGGGACGACGUCAAAUCAUCAUGCCCCUUAUGACCUGGGCUACAAACGUGCUACAAUGGCCACUACAGAGAGCUGCGAACUCGUAAGGGUAAGCCAAUCUCAUAAAAGUGGUCCCAGUUCGGAUUGUGGGCUGCAACCCGCCCACAUGAAGUCGGAGUUGCUAGUAAUCGCGAAUCAGCAUGUCGCGGUGAAUACGUUCCCGGGCCUUGUACACACCGCCCGUCACACCAUGGGAAUUGAUAGCGCCCGAAGUCGGUGAGGCAACCGUAAGGAGUCAGCCGCCGAAGGUGAGAUCAAUGACUGGGGUG
RNAcentral lists this ribosomal RNA (693 nucleotides) under uncultured bacterium. RNAcentral describes it as "bacterial SSU rRNA". It matches the Rfam family "Bacterial small subunit ribosomal RNA", at positions 790 to 1482 of the family's 1533-position model. The record is from RNAcentral.